GGGUUGUGAGGUUAAGCGACUAAGCGUACACGGUGGAUGCCCUGGCAGUCAGAGGCGAUGAAGGACGUGCUAAUCUGCGAUAAGCGUCGGUAAGGUGAUAUGAACCGUUAUAACCGGCGAUUUCCGAAUGGGGAAACCCAGUGUGUUUCGACACACUAUCAUUAACUGAAUCCAUAGGUUAAUGAGGCGAACCGGGGGAACUGAAACAUCUAAGUACCCCGAGGAAAAGAAAUCAACCGAGAUUCCCCCAGUAGCGGCGAGCGAACGGGGAGCAGCCCAGAGCCUGAAUCAGUGUGUGUGUUAGUGGAAGCGUCUGGAAAGGCGCGCGAUACAGGGUGACAGCCCCGUACACAAAAAUGCACAUACUGUGAGCUCGAUGAGUAGGGCGGGACACGUGGUAUCCUGUCUGAAUAUGGGGGGACCAUCCUCCAAGGCUAAAUACUCCUGACUGACCGAUAGUGAACCAGUACCGUGAGGGAAAGGCGAAAAGAACCCCGGCGAGGGGAGUGAAAAAGAACCUGAAACCGUGUACGUACAAGCAGUGGGAGCACGCUUAGGCGUGUGACUGCGUACCUUUUGUAUAAUGGGUCAGCGACUUAUAUUCUGUAGCAAGGUUAACCGAAUAGGGGAGCCGAAGGGAAACCGAGUCUUAACUGGGCGUUAAGUUGCAGGGUAUAGACCCGAAACCCGGUGAUCUAGCCAUGGGCAGGUUGAAGGUUGGGUAACACUAACUGGAGGACCGAACCGACUAAUGUUGAAAAAUUAGCGGAUGACUUGUGGCUGGGGGUGAAAGGCCAAUCAAACCGGGAGAUAGCUGGUUCUCCCCGAAAGCUAUUUAGGUAGCGCCUCGUGAAUUCAUCUCCGGGGGUAGAGCACUGUUUCGGCAAGGGGGUCAUCCCGACUUACCAACCCGAUGCAAACUGCGAAUACCGGAGAAUGUUAUCACGGGAGACACACGGCGGGUGCUAACGUCCGUCGUGAAGAGGGAAACAACCCAGACCGCCAGCUAAGGUCCCAAAGUCAUGGUUAAGUGGGAAACGAUGUGGGAAGGCCCAGACAGCCAGGAUGUUGGCUUAGAAGCAGCCAUCAUUUAAAGAAAGCGUAAUAGCUCACUGGUCGAGUCGGCCUGCGCGGAAGAUGUAACGGGGCUAAACCAUGCACCGAAGCUGCGGCAGCGACACUAUGUGUUGUUGGGUAGGGGAGCGUUCUGUAAGCCUGCGAAGGUGUGCUGUGAGGCAUGCUGGAGGUAUCAGAAGUGCGAAUGCUGACAUAAGUAACGAUAAAGCGGGUGAAAAGCCCGCUCGCCGGAAGACCAAGGGUUCCUGUCCAACGUUAAUCGGGGCAGGGUGAGUCGACCCCUAAGGCGAGGCCGAAAGGCGUAGUCGAUGGGAAACAGGUUAAUAUUCCUGUACUUGGUGUUACUGCGAAGGGGGGACGGAGAAGGCUAUGUUGGCCGGGCGACGGUUGUCCCGGUUUAAGCGUGUAGGCUGGUUUUCCAGGCAAAUCCGGAAAAUCAAGGCUGAGGCGUGAUGACGAGGCACUACGGUGCUGAAGCAACAAAUGCCCUGCUUCCAGGAAAAGCCUCUAAGCAUCAGGUAACAUCAAAUCGUACCCCAAACCGACACAGGUGGUCAGGUAGAGAAUACCAAGGCGCUUGAGAGAACUCGGGUGAAGGAACUAGGCAAAAUGGUGCCGUAACUUCGGGAGAAGGCACGCUGAUAUGUAGGUGAAGUCCCUCGCGGAUGGAGCUGAAAUCAGUCGAAGAUACCAGCUGGCUGCAACUGUUUAUUAAAAACACAGCACUGUGCAAACACGAAAGUGGACGUAUACGGUGUGACGCCUGCCCGGUGCCGGAAGGUUAAUUGAUGGGGUCAGCGCAAGCGAAGCUCUUGAUCGAAGCCCCGGUAAACGGCGGCCGUAACUAUAACGGUCCUAAGGUAGCGAAAUUCCUUGUCGGGUAAGUUCCGACCUGCACGAAUGGCGUAAUGAUGGCCAGGCUGUCUCCACCCGAGACUCAGUGAAAUUGAACUCGCUGUGAAGAUGCAGUGUACCCGCGGCAAGACGGAAAGACCCCGUGAACCUUUACUAUAGCUUGACACUGAACAUUGAGCCUUGAUGUGUAGGAUAGGUGGGAGGCUUUGAAGUGUGGACGCCAGUCUGCAUGGAGCCGACCUUGAAAUACCACCCUUUAAUGUUUGAUGUUCUAACGUUGACCCGUGAUCCGGGUUGCGGACAGUGUCUGGUGGGUAGUUUGACUGGGGCGGUCUCCUCCUAAAGAGUAACGGAGGAGCACGAAGGUUGGCUAAUCCUGGUCGGACAUCAGGAGGUUAGUGCAAUGGCAUAAGCCAGCUUGACUGCGAGCGUGACGGCGCGAGCAGGUGCGAAAGCAGGUCAUAGUGAUCCGGUGGUUCUGAAUGGAAGGGCCAUCGCUCAACGGAUAAAAGGUACUCCGGGGAUAACAGGCUGAUACCGCCCAAGAGUUCAUAUCGACGGCGGUGUUUGGCACCUCGAUGUCGGCUCAUCACAUCCUGGGGCUGAAGUAGGUCCCAAGGGUAUGGCUGUUCGCCAUUUAAAGUGGUACGCGAGCUGGGUUUAGAACGUCGUGAGACAGUUCGGUCCCUAUCUGCCGUGGGCGCUGGAGAACUGAGGGGGGCUGCUCCUAGUACGAGAGGACCGGAGUGGACGCAUCACUGGUGUUCGGGUUGUCAUGCCAAUGGCACUGCCCGGUAGCUAAAUGCGGAAGAGAUAAGUGCUGAAAGCAUCUAAGCACGAAACUUGCCCCGAGAUGAGUUCUCCCUGACUCCUUGAGAGUCCUGAAGGAACGUUGAAGACGACGACGUUGAUAGGCCGGGUGUGUAAGCGCAGCGAUGCGUUGAGCUAACCGGUACUAAUGAACCGUGAGGCUUAACCUUACAACGCCGAAG
This 2924-nucleotide ribosomal RNA is filed under the name Escherichia coli. RNAcentral describes it as "partial 23S ribosomal RNA". It matches the Rfam family "Bacterial large subunit ribosomal RNA". The record is from RNAcentral. Lineage: Bacteria; Pseudomonadati; Pseudomonadota; Gammaproteobacteria; Enterobacterales; Enterobacteriaceae.